This is a long non-coding RNA of Uranotaenia lowii, 2691 nucleotides long. RefSeq lists it as uncharacterized. The record is from RefSeq and is a predicted model, not a curated record. Lineage: Eukaryota; Metazoa; Arthropoda; Insecta; Diptera; Culicidae. The transcript has 4 exons.
ACAAAGAUAACGCAGUAUUCUGCCUGACGCUAUGCACUUUCUUAUCAGAAUAAAUUUGGCUAAAUAAAGGAUCUUGGUAGGCUGUGGGCGAAGAAAGCAGACAAUUUUGUUGACAGGAAAAUUUUCUUAAAUUUGUAAUAUUGGUGAAAAAUUCGAGAAACGAAGCUUUUAUAGUGGUUGAAAUGCGAGAAAUGGAAUCGACCAGUGCCCCUCCCAAAAGAAAACCCGCAUAAUCAAAAACUGUACACUGAAUCUUCAGAACGAUUCUGUUCUGAUUACAUGUAUGGUGAAUAUUUGUAUUAUCGUCCUUUAAUACUUUUAUUUUUCACAAAUUUUUCGAUUCUUAAUGCGUCUUUGCUAGAAUUGAUAAAAAUUAUUUAUGGAAGAUAAGUUGAAUGAUCUCAAAAACCAUAUUGAGUAUAUCUGUACCUGAGUGUAUCAUGUGUCGUCACUAGAAGAAAAAAGAAGAAACAAAACUUACAACGUUUUUAAAAGUCGACGCGACGGAACCGAUACUGGUGCGCUCGGGGAACCUAAAGAAAGGAAAAGCCAGUCUGGAGUUGACAGUAAACGGUCAAAAUGGCCCUACAGUUGCAGGAUAUGCACCCAGGAGGUCAAAUUAUUUCGGAAAAAGGCCAAAUAAUUAUUGUUUCACGGCUUAAGCAGGCCUCCCGUAAGAAAAACAAGCAACGAAAUCGGUCGGCAGGAACCGGCCCCGGUAAUUUGUCGGAUCUUCACCGCCUCAUGCGACGUUAUUGGGUGCUGGACUUGUUUAAACCAAAACCAGGGGAUCAAAUUUUUCGGGAAGAUCCAUGGAAGCAACCGACUCCGAUUAUGUGCCAGGUCUUCUAAACCGUCUUUUACGUUGGAGCAAGAUAAGUUAGACUGGGAGGAACCUGUAACAUGCACUGUAUAAAUAUGUCGAAGAAAAAGAAAACACACGGAAGUUGAAGAUGGUCCCGAUUCUCGAGUUUAAAAGCAUCCGCUGAAAAAUAACUCUGAAAUUUGACCUAAGCAAGAAGAAAAUACGGAACCGUAGGCUCAAAUCAAGGCCGAGAUAAAUUUUGUGCUGGUAGCCGUUUGAAAUAAUAUCCCGCAUAAUCUAAUACCGUUCACCUAAUCGUCUAAAUUAUUUGGUUCUGAUUACAUUAAUCGUCCCGAUUCGUUUUGCGACUUUGCUGAUGGUGCCCUUGCUGCGAACGAUAAAAAAGAAUUUCUGAAAGAUACGAUUAAUGAUCUUAAAAAAAUUGAUAUUUUUGCGCAUAUGAAUGUAGUGUGUCUCGAGUGAGCGUCAGUGUGUCUCAACUUCUCGACGUUAUUGCAUCAUUUUAGGACCAAGCAAAAAAUUUUUUAAAAGAAGUGUUUUUUGAAUGUUAAAACCCGUGAAUCACAAUGAAAAAUGCGUGCUCAAACUACAUCGAUCGGUAGAGAAAACUAUGUCCCCAGAAAACAUUCCUAUGCACCUGGGAUCACAGUACCUGAGAAGCAGGUGCUUCAAGCAGCGAAAUAUCAAUGGCGGAGGUAGCAGGUUAUGAUUGUUUGUUCCGGAUGUUAGUCCGAUGGUUCCAUUUCGGCCGAAAGAAAAUCGCGGAAUAUAAUUUGCACGCCGGUCGCUUGAAGACUUUAAAAAACAUCAGCUUUCUUCAGAACCGCACUCGCACCACAGGUUCCAGCUCGGAAGGAACCAUAUUGCCUGUUCAGCAUUCGGAUCUGGUUUUCAGUAUCUCGUAACGAUGUCGGACAUCCAGGCGUUACAGGACAUGAGUUUACCAAAAGAGAAAACGUACGGAUAAUGGUCAAUAGUCUGAGUAGAAUUGAUCAUACCUAUCUAUGUUUUCUACAUUAAAAGAACCAGCUCCCACGAGGUAAUUUUGUUGGACAGUUGACGUUUUGCUAGCUGCAACUUCGAAGGAGGGUAAACCACCGGUGGCCAAAUCACUGCCCAAGUCGUUUAAAGCGUGAGCCAUUUGGGGCUACCUUUCUCUUCCAUUCUUCAUAUACGUAACUAUUUUUAAACAAUUUUUACUCGUUCUAGUCUUUAUCAUCCAUCAUCUCCAUCUGCAAUCACCUCGAUGUAAACAAACUUGAAUCAUCAAAAAGUGAAAAGUGUUAGAACAUAAAUGUUAAAAAUUAAUUUGUGUUUUUCAUAAGAGCAAUUGCAAUUUUUCGUUUCAUAGUUGAAUUCAAGAGACACGAACGCCACAAACGUGGUAAAGUCUAUAAUAAGAGGAAAACAAAAUAGUUGAAUUCAAAAUCAGAAUUAAUUUAAGAUAUCAGGAUGUUCAAUUCAUGUUUGGAAGAUAAUUUUCUAAUUAAUUUAAUUUCUAAUUUCUUAAUCAAAAUCCGUAGACAAAUUAAUAUCCAAUGUUGUUUGUCCAACAUUUGAAUUUAUUGUUCCGUUGUUUUUUUAAUUGGUAUACUAAAUAGUGAUAUGUAUCAGUUCUCUUUAAAAUGUUUUUGGAAAUUGAUAGAUAAAAAAAUGACUAGGAAGUACAGUUUAAAUUUCCAAACAUUACUAAAAGUUUAUGUAAAACAUUGCAGGAACAGUUUAUGAACGUAUAAAUAAUGCAAACGAGUUUUCUAGGCCGAUCUAAUCAUGCACGUUUGCAUCUUAUGAAGUUUUCAAAUGUAAACCAAAUUUUAAAAUAUUUACUACUUAUGAAACGAAAGGAAAUAAGAAUGUAGAAUUAA